GCGGCAUAUGGAGGUUCCCAGGCUAGGGGUCGAAUCAGAGCUGUAGCUGCCAGCCUCCACCACAGCCACAGCAAUGUGGGAUCCGAGCGGCGUCUGCGACCUACACCACAGCUCACGGCAACGCCAGAUCCUUAACCCACUGAGCGAGGCCAGGGAUCGAACUCACAACCUCAUGGUUCCUAGUCGGAUUCGUUAACCACUGAGCCACGACGGGAACUCCCAAGCCUAUCAUUUUCUUAGAAUGAAGGAACACAGUUUCAAGCUUAAAACACUAUGACGACGACAAAUGCUCUGCAUAGGCAAUUGUAUAGUUUUGUUUAAAAAAUUAAAUCGCCUUUGGAAAAGUUCCUCCCUUAAGAAAAACAUUUAAGGAAAAAAUAAGAUCUGUUCUCCCCCUAAAGACAGAAACACACACAUAUACACACACCAUCAAAUUCAUCUGUACCAUACUUCUGAAUUUUUGUUAUUAUUUAACACUUACUAAGUUUCCAUUUAGGGCCAAAUUUGGUGUCAUUUUCUCCAACUGGAAUUCAGCAAUAUGUGUAACAACAAGAAAACACAUGCCAAUCCUUUGACAAGGUACUAUUUUCCAUACUUGACAGAUUAGACAAUAAUCUGUAACUGACCUGAGAGCAGCAGCCCUAUCAGUGGUACAGUUGGUUACAGGACCAGGACUGUGAACCACAGUACAAUUACCAGCUUCGUUCAGUUCCAUCACCCCCCAAGGUCUUGACAUCUCACAGACUCUGAACCCGCUGAAAAAUUCUUCCUCCCCACUUCCCUUCCUCUGCCCUUCCUGCUGGACUGGAUUCUAGUCACUUAACAAGUUUCGGCUUAAACUACCCAGCAGAGGGGCCUUUGGGGACUAUCCUGGUAAAAGGUGUUUUUUUUUUUUUUUUUUUUUUUUUUUUUGCUAUUUCUUGGGCCGCUCCCACGGCAUAUGGAGGUUCCCAGGCUAAGGGUCUAAUCAGAGCUGUAGCCGCCGGCCUAUGCCAGAGCCACAGCAACGCGGGAUCCGAGCCGAGUCUGCAACCUACACCACAGCUCAUGGCAACGCCGAAUCCUUAACCCUCUGAGCAAGGGCAGGGACCGAACCCGCAACCUCAUGGUUCCCAGUCGGAUUCGCUAACCACUGCGUCAUGAUGGGAACUCCAGACCCUAGGUUUUAAGGCCAUGUUCCACCCUGGUAAACACGGGGCCUAGCAUAGGUGUUCCUGGUACACAGCUGGCCCUCAAAUAUUUGCUCAAUGAAUAGCCUGCAUUUAUUUACUAUCUACCAAAUGCCAGGUUGUGGGCACUGGCUAGCAGCUGAUACAAGAACAGUUAAG
This 1328-nucleotide long non-coding RNA is filed under the name Sus scrofa (pig). RNAcentral's name for it is "lncRNA (ENSSSCG00005028473.1)". The record is from RNAcentral. Lineage: Eukaryota; Metazoa; Chordata; Mammalia; Artiodactyla; Suidae.